Molecule: ribosomal RNA, 484 nt
Filed under: uncultured bacterium
Lineage: Bacteria
Description: partial 16S ribosomal RNA
Rfam family: Bacterial small subunit ribosomal RNA
Source: RNAcentral
AUUGAACGCUGGCGGCAUGCUUUACACAUGCAAGUCGAACGGCAGCGCGGGCUUCGGCCUGGCGGCGAGUGGCGAACGGGUGAGUAAUACAUCGGAACGUGCCCAGUAGUGGGGGAUAGCUCGGCGAAAGCCGGAUUAAUACCGCAUACGACCUGAGGGUGAAAGCGGGGGAUCUUCGGACCUCGCGCUAUUGGAGCGGCCGAUGGCAGAGUAGCUAGUUGGUGGGGUAAAGGCCUACCAAGGCGACGAUCUGUAGCUGGUCUGAGAGGACGACCAGCCACACUGGGACUGAGACACGGCCCAGACUCCUACGGGAGGCAGCAGUGGGGAAUUUUGGACAAUGGGCGAAAGCCUGAUCCAGCAAUGCCGCGUGUGUGAUGAAGGCCUUCGGGUUGUAAAGCACUUUUGGCGGGAACGAAAAGGACUGUGCCAAUACCACGGUUCGAUGACGGUACCCGAAGAAUAAGCACCGGCUAACUACGUG